This 429-nucleotide ribosomal RNA is filed under the name Chloroflexota bacterium. RNAcentral describes it as "Chloroflexi bacterium partial 16S ribosomal RNA". It matches the Rfam family "Bacterial small subunit ribosomal RNA", at positions 355 to 776 of the family's 1533-position model. Lineage: Bacteria; Bacillati; Chloroflexota. The record is from RNAcentral.
UGGGGAAUAUUGCACAAUGGGCGCAAGCCUGAUGCAGCCAUGCCGCGUGUGUGAAGAAGGCCUUCGGGUUGUAAAGCACUUUCAGCGGGGAGGAAGGCGGUGAGGUUAAUAACCUCAUCGAUUGACGUUACCCGCAGAAGAAGCACCGGCUAACUCCGUGCCAGCAGCCGCGGUAAUACGGAGGGUGCAAGCGUUAAUCGGAAUUACUGGGCGUAAAGCGCACGCAGGCGGUCUGUCAAGUCGGAUGUGAAAUCCCCGGGCUCAACCUGGGAACUGCAUUCGAAACUGGCAGGCUAGAGUCUUGUAGAGGGGGGUAGAAUUCCAGGUGUAGCGGUGAAAUGCGUAGAGAUCUGGAGGAAUACCGGUGGCGAAGGUGGCCCCCUGGACGAAGACUGACGCUCAGGUGCGAAAGCGUGGGGAGCAAACAGG